RNAcentral lists this long non-coding RNA (205 nucleotides) under Brassica napus (rape). RNAcentral describes it as "long non-coding RNA (BNAP_LNC013944)". Lineage: Eukaryota; Viridiplantae; Streptophyta; Magnoliopsida; Brassicales; Brassicaceae. The record is from RNAcentral.
AGUGUUGUGUUGUGUUAGUGUGUCGUAGAGGGUUAUGGAACCCUCGAGUUAGUGUAGCACCGAUAUACGGUGUUACGAGUUAGAUCGAAUCGUAGUUACUCAUAGUUAUUUUUGUGAUUGUGCUUGGUUUUUGAAAGUUUGUCUUGCAGGUUCCCGUUACUUUAAGCUAUAUCAUUGCAGGAGGCCAAGUCUAACUUAGUAACGG